AACGAACGCUGGCGGCAGGCCUAACACAUGCAAGUCGAGCGCCCUUUCGGGGGAGCGGCGGUCGGGUGAGUACCGCGUGGGAAUAUGCCCUUCUCUACGGAAUAGCCUCGGGAAACUGAGAGUAAUACCGCAUACGCCCUGUGGGGGAAAGAUUUAUCGGGGAAGGAUUAGCCCGCGUUGGAUUAGGUAGUUGGUGGGGUAAUGGCCGACCAAGCCGACGAGCCAUAGCUGGUUUGAGAGGAUGAUCAGCCACACUGGGACUGGGACACGGCCCAGACUCCUGCGGGAGGCAGCAGUGGGGAAUCAUAGACAAUGGGGGGAAGCCUGAUCUAGCCAGGCCGCGGGAGUGAUGAAGGGCUUAGGGUGGUAAAGCUCUUUCAGCUGGGAAGAUAAGGACGGUACCAGCAGAAGAAGCCCGGGCGAACUCCGG
Molecule: ribosomal RNA, 430 nt
Filed under: uncultured bacterium
Lineage: Bacteria
Description: partial 16S ribosomal RNA
Rfam family: Bacterial small subunit ribosomal RNA
Source: RNAcentral